Molecule: ribosomal RNA, 253 nt
Filed under: uncultured bacterium
Lineage: Bacteria
Description: partial 16S ribosomal RNA
Rfam family: Bacterial small subunit ribosomal RNA
Source: RNAcentral
UACAGAGGUCUCAAGCGUUGUUCGGAUUCAUUGGGCGUAAAGGGUGCGUAGGUGGUGGGGUAAGUCGGAUGUGAAAUCCCGGGGCUCAACCCCAGAACUGCAUUCGAUACUGCCUUGCUCGAGUACUGGAGAGGAGACUGGAAUUUACGGUGUAGCAGUGAAAUGCGUAGAUAUCGUAAGGAAGACCAGUGGCGAAGGCGAGUCUCUGGACAGUUACUGACACUGAGGCACGAAGGCCAGGGGAGCAAACGGG